UAUUGGGCAAUGGGCGCAAGCCUGACCCAGCAACGCCGCGUGAAGGAAGAAGGCUUUCGGGUUGUGAACUUCUUUUAAGAGGGAAGAGCAGAAGACGGUACCUCUAGAAUAAGCCACGGCUAACUACGUGCCAGCAGCCGCGGUAAUACGUAGGUGGCAAGCGUUGUCCGGAUUUACUGGGUGUAAAGGGCGUGCAGCCGGGUCUGCAAGUCAGAUGUGAAAUCCAUGGGCUCAACCCGUGAACUGCAUUUGAAACUGUAGAUCUUGAGUGUCGGAGGGGCAAUCGGUAUUCCUAGUGUAGCGGUGAAAUGCGUAGAUAUUAGGAGGAACACCAGUGGCGAAGGCGGAUUGCUGGACGAUAACUGACGGUGAGGCGCGAAAGUGUGGGGAGCAAACAGGA
This 400-nucleotide ribosomal RNA is filed under the name uncultured bacterium. Its description in RNAcentral is "bacterial SSU rRNA". It matches the Rfam family "Bacterial small subunit ribosomal RNA", at positions 362 to 777 of the family's 1533-position model. The record is from RNAcentral.